RNAcentral lists this ribosomal RNA (4709 nucleotides) under Trichoderma hamatum. RNAcentral describes it as "large subunit ribosomal RNA". The stretch from base 27 to 2464 matches the Rfam family "Bacterial large subunit ribosomal RNA". The record is from RNAcentral. Lineage: Eukaryota; Fungi; Ascomycota; Sordariomycetes; Hypocreales; Hypocreaceae.
UGAUAUAUAACUAUUACUUAUAAAUAUAUAAGUAUAUAAAGAAACUAUUAUGGAAUUUAAGCUAUGUAUUAAAGAGAAUUAUUUAUAUAUAUAGGAUAUUUAUCCUAUAAUUAUAUGAACUCUAAGAGAAAUUUUAUAAUAAACGAAGUGAAUUGAAAUAUCUUAGUAACUUUAGGAAAAUAAAUCAAAAGAGAUUCUAUGAAUAGCGUGAGCGAAAGUAGAGAAGUCUAAUAAGUAAAACGGUUCAAAACUGUUUAAACAUUAUGGGGAACCUUCCUCAAAGGCUAAAUAUAAUACAUAAGCGAUAGUGAAAAGUACCAUGAGGGAAAUAAAAUAAAAAUAGUAGUUUUAUAAGCAGUUCGAAAUAAAGAACGUACCUUUUGCAUAAUGGGUCACCAAGUUAACGUUAGAUGCGAGAUAACACGUAGUUAAACCGAACGUUAAAAUAACGAUUAGUGUCUAAAGUUAGACCCGAAGCCUGGUGAUUUUACCAUAGUCAGGAUUAUAAAAGUCCGAACCGGUGAUUGUAGCAAAAAUCUCGGAAGAACUGUGGUAGGUGUAGUGAAAGACAACACUGACUAGGAUAGCUGGUUUUCUGCGAAACCUAUAAUAGUAGGCAGUUUAAGUAAAUAUCUUAGCAGGUACAGAAUUUAAUCUCAGACAAGACAUUCAAUGUUUUAUAUUGUACAAAUUGGGGGAUCAUGAAGAUUUUAUCAGUGAGUAUGUAGACUCGGAAUGGCAAAGAUAUAUAUUAAACUAUCAGACAUAGAAUGAUAAGGUUGUAUGUCGAAAGGGAAACAGCCCAGAACAAGAGUUAAGGUUCCUAAAUUAUUUGUUAAGUGAAAAUAAGAAGGUUUUUAUUUAAGUCGACAAGGAGAUAGGCUUAGAAGCAGCCAUAAUUUUAUGACCUCGUAACAGAGCGCUUGUUAAAUUAUAAAAGCGUCGAAAAUAUAACGGAUCUAAACAAUAUACCGAAACCUUGUCCAUAAUAUAUUAUAAUAAAUAUGUUUAUUGUAAUUAAAUGGGGUAGCAGAACGUUGAGCUAAAGUAUGAGUUUUAUUUUUUAAAUAAAAUUAUAGUAUUUAACUCAAGUGAGAAUGGUGACAUGAGUAACUAAAAGAAAAUUUUCCGCCUUAAGCUUAUGGAUGUAAUUAAGUAACGGCCUCUAAGUUUAUAUAAUCUAAAGAUUUAAACGAUGAGAAAAUCUUUAUUACUAAAAACAACAUUUUGGUGCAAAAUGUGCUGGAAAAAUAGUAAUAUGUUUGUUAUUUAAUAACAAAUAAAAUAACCGUACCUAGAAUCUGAAACAAGUAAGCUAGUAGAGAAUACGAAGGCGUAAAUGAGCUAACAAUCAUAAAGGAACUCGGCAAAUUGACUACCGUAACUUCGGAAUAAGGAGGGCUCAUUAUUCUUGAUGAAUAUCAAGUAAAGAGGAAGAAGCAUGAAAUAAUGUUGUACGACUGUUUAAUUAAAACACAGCACUUUGCUGAAAGAUUAAAAAUCUAAGUAUAAAGUGUGAUAUCUGCCCGGUGCCGGCUGGUUAACAGACAUAAUUGAAUAUACUAAUAUUUGAUGUGGACGGAAACCCCGGUUAAAGGCGGCCUUAACGUGAGGGUCCUAAGGUAGCGAAAUGCCUUGGCCGUUAAAUGCGGUCUUGCAUGAAUGGUGUAACGAUACAACAGCUGUCUCUAUGAUUGACUCAGUGAAAUUGGAAUAGCUGUGCAGAUACAGCUUACCUCUAGUUAGACGAGAAGACCCUAUGCAGCUUUACUGUCACUAAUUAUAGAGUAUGAUAAACGAUUUUCAGAAUAUAAGGUAAUUGACAAACAUGACAAUGAGAAACCUUUAUUCUUUUUUCAUAUGAAUGAAUUGGUUUAGGAUUAUGAGUAAUUUAUAGUUAAUUUUAUGGGCCUAGCUUAUGCUGGGUUACAUAUUUUAAUUUAUAGCUCAUUUUAGUAAAUCAACCUAAUUCAACUUAUUUAUUUUUAAAAUUAGUAAGUACCCUUUGGUAAGGAACUAUCGCUAGGGGACAGUUUAUGUGGGGCACAGACCCUGUAAAGAGUAAACAGGAGUGUCUAAAAAUUUAUAAUUAUUUUGUUUGCUAUUUUGAGUAGUUUAACUAUUUUUAAUCGUAUAAAAUUAAAUAUAUUUGCAUUUUAUGUAUAUAUAUUUAAGAUUAGGUAAGAUUUUCACUAUAUAGAAAUUAGAGAUAAUUGAGAAUAUUAUGAAGUUUUCUAAUAUUUUCUAGCUAUUAUUUAUAAUAGUUAUGUGUUUAAUAUCUAAAAAGCUCAACGGCUUAAUCUUGCCUUACUGUUUGAUUAUCGACAAAUCUUACAGUUGCGUAAGCAGGGCAUAGGAUCACAAGAUGCCACAAGGAAAGAUCUUGGAUUAUUGGAAAAGCUACGCUAGGGAUGUUUGUCCUUUAAUAUUUUAUUUACGUGGGCUUGCUAAGCACGCUUCUAUAAAAUUAUUAAUAUAAAUUGGGUAAAUUUCAAGAAUUACUAAUAAUGAUAGUAAACUUGAAGCGAAGUUUAUCUUAGCAUAUAUAUAAGAUAAAAACGUUCAACGACUAUAAGGUGAGUGAUAUGCAAUACACAAUAAUCCUUUAAUACUACCCAACAUUUUUAUUAGACAUAUUUUAAAAAAAACAAGUAAAAUGAAUUAAUUAUAACAAAAUUAUAAUGAGAAAAAAUCUUAAUAUGAAAAUAUUUAAUAACAAUUUAAAUAAUAAUCCUAAAACAAUUGCUUUAAGAAAAAAAGUAGGAGAUAUAGGAAAAAUAAAAUAUUUACCUUCUUUUUCUAAAGAAUGAAAAAAUACUAUUUAUAGCUAUAAUAAGAAUAUGUUGAAAAAUAUACCUUCUAAUGAUGUAAAUAUUAAUAAAAUAAUUCAAAGUUAUUUUAAUUUAUAUUUUAAAGAUCAUAAAUACGUAGGAUCUAGAAAGUUUAUAUUACUUAGAAGAAGACGUACAUUCUUAAGAAAAAUUUAUGUAAGUAACGCUGAAAUUAAACAUACAAAUAAUAAAGCGAUAAUUACUUUAUUUACAGUAAAUAGAGAAAAAAAAAUCUUAAAAAAAAAAUAUUUAAAAAUAAAUAAAAAAAUAAGUCAAAACUUAAUAAGACGUUAUUUAUUAUUAUAUAAAAAUAAUGUAUCUAAUAUUUAUGAUAUAAUAAAUAAUCAUAAAGAUGAAUAUAAAUUUUUAUCAGUAAAUGGAGGUAAUAAAAUGACUAAAAAAGGAUUUUUAAAUUAUAGAUUAGAAUAUUUAAAUAAAUUUAUAAAAUUAAAAGAUCUUUAUUUAAGAAAAAUUUGAAGUGUAAUUAUUAGUAAAUAUUGAAGAACACAUUUAAAAUUAUUAAGAAAGUAUGAUUUAAUGUAUUCUCUUAAUCAAUAUAAAUUUAAUAACUUAACAUUUUUACCUAAAUUAAGUAAUAUAUUAAAUAAAAUAAUAGGAAAAAAAAUAGAAUAUAAUAUAAUAAAUCUAAAAUCUAUUGCAUAUAAUACAGAUCUUUUCACUAAUGCUUUAGCAUUAAAAUUAAAAAAAAAGAGAAUGAAUUAUAUAAAAAGUAUGUUUAGUAUAUUAAAUAGAGCAUAUUUACCUAAAAUAAAUACAAUAAAAGAAAGAACUUUAGUAAAAGGACAGAAAAAUAUUGAUUUAUACUUAGAUAAAUAUAAAGAUUUAAAUAUAAUUUCUAAUUUAAAUAAUAUUAAUUUAGAUAAAUUAUUAAAUAAUAUAAAUAAUACAACUAAUACUGAUAAAAACGAUACAGAGAAUAAAAAAAUUCAUAAUCUAAUAUACAAUUCCAUAGGUUAUAAAAAUAUGGGAGGUAUAAGAUUAGAAGUUAAAGGAAGAUUAACUAAACGUUAUAGAGCAGAUAGAUCUAUUUACUCAUUAAAAUGAAAAGGUGGGUUAAAAAAUGUAGAUUCUUCUUUCAAACGUUUAAGUUCAGUCUUAUUUAGAGGAAACUCUAAAUCUAAUAUGACUUAUACAUUAUCUCAAUCAAAGCGUAGAAUUGGAGCGUUUGCAGUUAAAGGAUGAAUAAGUGGUAAAUAAAUAUUAAGGAAAAAUCUAAAAUAUGUAAAAAUAAAAAUGAAGACAUAGUCUGAACCAUUUUUAAAGAAAUGGAAAUAUAAAAAUAUGAUAACAUACAGAACAGGCUAAUUUGCGCAAGAGUGUACAAAAUGAGUGCGCGGUUUGGCACCUCGAUGUCGGCUUAACUUAUCCUCAUGGAUGCAGGAACUAUGUAGGGUGCGACUGUUCGUCGAUUAAAAAGUUACAUGAGCUGGGUUAAAUACGUCGUGAGACAGUAUGGUUUCUAUCUUCUAGGGGGAAUUAGAAUAUAAUAAGAACAAACUUUUGUACGAAAGGAACAAGAAGAGUUUAGCUGAAAGGUUAAACGAUGGUUACUAAUCUAUGGUUUACCUGUUGUUUAUGUGCCCAAUAUUCAAUAUAUAUAUUUAUAUAUAUAUCUGUAUUUUUAUACAUGGGAUGUUUCUCUCACUAAGAUAAAUAUAUAGCAUAAGCACGGCAGGAACGCUAAGUUAGUUAAGGAUAAGUGCUGAAAGCAUAUAGGCACGAAGCUUAUCUUAAGAUAUUUCUUAAAUAUGCGUAAAAUAUUAUUACGAAAUAAUUAUAGGCUUUAUCCGUAAGAAUCAAGAGAUUUUCAAGAAUAAAGUACUAAUUUAAUAAAUAACUAUUUAUAUAUAUAUCAAU